Molecule: ribosomal RNA, 424 nt
Filed under: uncultured bacterium
Lineage: Bacteria
Description: bacterial SSU rRNA
Rfam family: Bacterial small subunit ribosomal RNA
Source: RNAcentral
GAAUAUUGGACAAUGGGGGCAACCCUGAUCCAGCAAUGCCGCGUGUGUGAAGAAGGCCUGCGGGUUGUAAAGCACUUUCAGAGGGGAAGAAAAAAUCGGAGCCAACACCUCCGGUCUUGACGUUACCCUUAGAAGAAGCACCGGCUCACUCAGUGCCCGCAGCCGCGGUAAUACGGAGGGUGCAAGCGUUAAUCGGAAUUACUGGGCGUAAAGCGCGCGUAGGUGGUUGGUUAAGUUGGAUGUGAAAGCCCCGGGCUCAACCUGGGAACUGCAUCCAAAACUGGCAAGCUAGAGUACGGUAGAGGGUGGUGGAAUUUCCUGUGUAGCGGUGAAAUGCGUAGAUAUAGGAAGGAACACCAGUGGCGAAGGCGACCACCUGGACUGAUACUGACACUGAGGUGCGAAAGCGUGGGGAGCAAACAGG